RNAcentral lists this ribosomal RNA (301 nucleotides) under uncultured bacterium. RNAcentral's name for it is "partial 16S ribosomal RNA". It matches the Rfam family "Bacterial small subunit ribosomal RNA", at positions 509 to 807 of the family's 1533-position model. The record is from RNAcentral.
CAGCAGCCGCGGGAAUACGAAGGGUGCAAGCGUUAAUCGGAAUUACUGGGCGUAAAGCGUGCGUAGGCGGUUUGUUAAGUCUGUUGUGAAAUCCCCGGGCUCAACCUGGGAAUGGCAAUGGAUACUGGCAAGCUAGAGUGUGUCAGAGGAUGGUGGAAUUCCCGGUGUAGCGGUGAAAUGCGUAGAGAUCGGGAGGAACAUCAGUGACGAAGGCGGCCAUCUGGGACAACACUGACGCUGAGGCACGAAAGCGUGGGGAGCAAACAGGAUUAGAUACCCCAGUAGUCCCUGUCUCUUAUAC